CAAGGUUCAGGAUGCUGUGCCUAACUGGGUUCUUCUAAGCACCUACUGGGUUUUUAGAAAUCAGUAAUAACAAUGAUAAUUCACCUUAAUAACAGCCUGCCCCCCUCAGACCUCUUUCAUCUGAGUAACUCCCAGAGCUGAGAAAAACGGUAAUUAUGGAGCAGGUGCCACACCCCAAUGAUGAUGUGUUAUUAAUUCAUGAGCCCUGGCUGGGAAACUGAGGCCCAGGGAGAAGGCCCUUGCUCCAAUGGAGCUAAGACCCCCCAGUGCUGAAAGUUGCGGGGCAGUUGGGAACUGGAGAUGUCGGCUCCGCACCGGCAGUUUUAGGAACAUGUUCAUGAGAAGUGCGUUUCCUCCAGAUGUGGGUGGGGUGGAAGGUAUAGACAGACCCCAGAUGUGUGUCCCACGCUUUCUCACAAGGCUGCAGCAGGACCGAGUGGGCAGCCCUGGCAGGGAGUGAUGGCCUUUGUCUUUGAGUCCCUGCUCUACUCUCCUGGAGUGCAGAGAAGCAGGCCCACGGCUGCCUGAACCAUCAUCCCUAAACGAGGGGACCACAGGAUAAGAGAGGGCUCCGGACAGCUGCACGUCACAGCACAGUACAAGAGGCAAUGGAGUGUCAGGGAGUGGAGCAAGUCAAGAAGUGAGGACAGGGCCUGGCAUCUGUAAGGCCCUGGGUUCAAUCCUCAGCACAGGGAAAAAAAAAUGUCACUGUAAAACUGUGUCUUGGGAACAAGCUUAUCACUGUAGCACCUAUCCACCUUUGGCAAUGGUCUUCAAAUGAUGCGAUCCUUCCCACAGCAAGUGGGACUCGGCAGGGGAUGCCCUGCUGGCCCAAUAUCCAAGAGGGCAGGUGGAAACCCGCAGUAGGCCUUUCCCGUUUGUAUCCAAGGAGGGAAGCGGCGGACAUUCAAACUAGGAUCACGGAUAACAAGAUUCUGCAGCUAUGCGCACGGCCUACUGUGUGUGCCUAGCACAGCCUACUGUGUGCCUAGCACAGCCUACUGUGUGUGCCUAGCACGGCCUACUGUGUGCCUAGCCCUGUGCCGAUGCUGGGAACACAAACCUCAGCUCCCAGGGAACCGGAAGAGCCAAGGCAGGAAGCCAUCAAUGAUCUCAUCUUCUGUUGCUCCAGCUUUUCUUCAGCCAAUUAGAAGCUGACCAAAGCACCCAGGGAACCCUAGGCUAACGCUCUAAAUAGCUACCUCAGUUCAAGAACCGGCAUUCUUUGAUUUAAACACAACCAGUUUUCUCAUGAAUGAGAGACUAAGUCAGAAAACCAUGUAAACCAGAGUCGAGAAGCUUGAAUCCCAUCUUGGGGCACUCACCACCAUGUGAAUCACUUCUUUUCUGUCAGCUUCCCUGUUUGGGGUGGGGGUGUUGAGACAGGGUUUCUCUGUGCAGCCCUGGCUGUCCUGGAACUCACUCUGUAGCCCAGGCUGGCCUCAAACUCACAGAGAUCCGCCUGCUUCUGCCUCACGAGCGCUGGGAUUAAAGGACAUGGGCCACCAUACCCGGCUCAGUUUCCCCAUUUCUAACUUGAAGGUGGGUCUUGGACUAGAUUCUUCUCUAGGAUUCCUUCCAGCCUGUGGAGGCUCGACAUUGUUUUGAUGUGGUGGCAGAUCUCAGAUUGAUUUACAUAAAUUUGCAUGUUCAAUCAAAAACUCCAAACUCCAAGUAUAGAAAAUCCAAUCACUCCAUUAGUGCAGCCAGACAGGCUGGAGGGGCUGCCAGGUUCAGGCGAGGGUUGUCAAGGCGGCCGGCCGGCAGUAGCAACGGGACUGGGGGAGGGGCUGAGGGAAGCAGGAGUGAAAAACGGUACCUGUUCUAAGAGACAGAGGUCUGGUGACCCGGGUCUGCCCGCCGGGGCCCCUCAGCCCUCACUUGGGCUGUCCUUUCUCCUCCACAGGGCCUCGGGCUGGCCAGCCUCAGAGCCAUUCCGCAAGAUGGGAUUGCUGCGUCUGCCUAGCAACAGCUGCAUCCUUCACUCUGAUAGGAACUCCACCAGUAACUGCUUUCUGGGAAACUGACCUCCCUGGGAGUUUCCAUUAUCCAUUUCAAGGGCUUCACAACCGUGAGGGAGGUUUCUUGGGGUUUAACCUACAAGCCUCCUGCAGAAGCUUCCUAACACAGGGUAGCAGGGCUGAGGCUAGCGGGCUCCCCAGGCCUAGGACAGCUGGCAGAGUAAAAGACAAUGCAGGACAGACAAUGUGCCUCACAUCCCAGGGCCUCUUUAACCACCACAAUCUCCGACAAUACUCCCCUUCACCUGGGAGACCAAGGAUGAAAAUAAACAAGACUAUGAAGCCUUCUGGCUCUUGGGCUGGAAAGCAAGUCCUAACCUGGAGUACCAGAGUCCUGAGAGAGCCCUACCUCAAAGAGGUAAGGGGGCUGGGAAAAACAGGGCUGUGGCAGCGUCUCCUCCUCGCUGCUUGGGAGCUGGGGUGAGUACAGAGGUGCAGUGUGUGGAGCCAGCAGGUAGGAUGGGCAACAGCGGUGGGGCCCUCCUUGCCCUCUUCCCACAAGAGGGUGGAUGAAUGUGCUGGGCUCUCUGGCUCAGAUCCUAAAACAAGUCCCAACAGCUGAGAUGCAAACUGUCUCCUGGGAAUUGCCUACCCCGCUGGCCCUUGGCUGCCUCCUCCUCUCUCAACCCCUCCCCAAAGAUCCAACUCAAAGACUGGCCCAGUCAUGAUGUCUCACCUUGAUGGGUGGGCUGAGCCUGAGCCAGCAGGAGCUCAUAUCCCAAGGCACCAGGGUGAGCAGAAAAGGACUAUUCACAGGCAGAACAGAGUUCUGUUCUCUCAAUCCAAAAGUCUAAUCCUCAUCAACUGUGGCCCAGCAUUUUAGCUCUUAAUGGAGACACCCUGCUGGAGGACCUUCCUCCCCUCUCCAGUCGCCCACCAGUGGGAGGGAUUUUUAGAUCUUUCUGCUCCUACUGCUGAGUGUUGAAGAUGAAGGAAAUUGAGCCCCGUGGAAGCAAACUAUCUUGCUCAAGGUCAGAAAAGGCUGGAAGCGCAGGGCCCAAAGCGCAUCACUCUGGCCAUCUUGACAGCAACUCAGUGCCCACACACAAACCUUCCCUGCCUUCUGAUGAAGUUCUCUGCAGCCUGAGACAGCAGUCUCCCUGUCUAGGGUUUUCCUUCAAAGGCUGGAGCUGGAGGAGGAUACUAUGAAGCCAAAGACACCUUAGGCACAGACCACAGGCGCUGAAGGCAGAACCAAAUGAUUACUGUAGGAAUACCUCUCUAGACAAAAAUACUCGUGGUCUCUCUGGAGCAAGAAACUCCAUUCAUCUCACCCUGGGGUUGGGGUUCAAAAUCCGUGCGCCAGGCUUUCAGGCCAGAUUGGGGUGUGUGUGUGUGUAAGAUAAAAGAGGGUCUACAACAAAGCAAUUGCUCACUUCCCCUCAAAGGACUGGACACACAAUAGUGAGACAGACUCUUUCUCCAUGGUUCCUCAAACCAGUUCUGGUCCCGGCCUCUGUCUCCUACCACUUCCUCUGGCUGACAAUUGUGUUUAAGCAGGAGGACCCACUGGAGAAUGCAAAAGAGAGUUCCUGGAGAGGAAAAUGACAGAUUGCCUUUAAAGCUAAGGAAGCCCUCAAGCCUAAUUAAGACCCCUAGCUCCUGAGGAAGCGGGUCUUUAAAAGGCAGCUGCUAGGCAGGCUGGGUGGGUUUGGCUGAACCCUCUGGAAAGCCAGACCUAUGGGGAGGUGAAGGCCUUCUGUGCCCUUGGGACAGCGCCAGGGCUAGAGAGACAAGAGGGGCCUUCUGCCCGGGAUGUAGAGAGAGAGUUGGGGUCCCAACCGCCGCUUUCCCGGGCCUGCUAAACCAAGGGACUGUCAGGCACAGAUAAAUUCUCUGCAUUUUUUUUUUUUUUUUUAGCAUCCCAGCCCAAACCCAGAAAGCCUUUUCUGUCGGGGCUGCCCUGUCCACGCUCCAGCCCAGCCCUUCUCCCCCCUCAGCCUCUAUUCAGCAAGGAGCCUGUCGGGCUUCUUCCCCUAGCCCCUCGGAGCCUCAGUAGGGUUGUUCCCAAGACCCGGUCACUCCGCCUUUCCCCGCCUCCCCCACGCCCUACAGCCCCGGGCCACAGGGACUGGAAGGAGUACGACGGGGUGCCCCCAGGCUCCGGUGUGCGCCUGCGCUUUGGGGAGAGCCCCCUCCCUCGGCAACCCAGCACCGCUAAACAGUACCGGGACCGCGGGAUGCGGGUAGGGUGGGAGACGCAGUGGGGGCAAGGUUGACACUGAAAUGCCCAGAAGACAUCCAGCUGGAGAUGCCUGUCCAGGAAGUACAUGAACUAGCCACACGCUACUGAACAUCCGAAAUACGACUGAUCCAAAUGGAGAUGAACUUCACCUGUAUUGAAAUGCCAGACCUGGAAUCAUCAGUGUAAGGGGGCGUUGGUGGGUCUCACUCUACUGCUAACUGAAUGAAAACAUUUUGGAGAUAUUCGAUUACAUACCUAAAAUUUCUUUUUUUUUUCUUUUGGAUACAGGAUCUUGUCACAUAGUAGGUUGGCCUGGAGCUCCGCUGUAUACUCCACACUAUCCUCAGACUUGGCCUCGAAGUGCAGAGAUUAUGGGCGGAGCCCCCACACCCAGCUCAUGUCUUUUUACAAACGUUAAAGUAUACCCAGCCUCCUUCUCUGUUUAUGUCUGUCCUGAGGCCUGAAAAGGCUCAACCUACUGAUGCCAGCACCUUAGUCACACUGGGUUGAUAUACAGAUGAUCUCUUCUCAGAGAAAAGGGGUUGGAUGAGUCUCCAUGGUGUGCUUUGCUCUGAACAGCAGAAGGCUUCGGUCCCAACUGGUAUUGCCGAAGCAGUGCACGAAUUCCAUCGCAUGGUCCUGCGUCAGG
Long non-coding RNA from Peromyscus californicus insignis, 4855 nucleotides. RefSeq lists it as uncharacterized. NCBI's taxonomy places the organism in Eukaryota, Metazoa, Chordata, Mammalia, Rodentia, Cricetidae. The transcript is spliced from 4 exons. The record is from RefSeq and is a predicted model, not a curated record.